CGUCUAUAUACGUAUAGCAUAUCAAUAAGCGGAGGAAAAGAAACUAACAAGGAUUCCCUUAGUAACGGCGAGUGAAGCGGGAAGAGCUCAAAUUUGAAAUCUUCAAGGUUCUACCUUGACGAAUUGUAGUUUAUAGAAGUGUUUUCUGUUAGUAGAGUGGCAAAAGUUCUUUGGAAUAGGACAUCAUAGAGGGUGAGAAUCCCGUAUUUGGACCAUUUCUUUCUAGCUUUGUGAUACACUUUCAAAGAGUCGGAUUGUUUGGGAAUGCAGUCCAAAAUGGGUGGUAAAUUUCAUCUAAAGCUAAAUAUUGGCGAGAGACCGAUAGCGAACAAGCACCGUGAGGGAAAGAUGAAAAGAACUUUGAAAAGAGAGUUAAACAGUACGUGAAAUUGUCAAAAGGGAAGCGUUUGACACCAGUGUUGUUUUUCUCGAAAAUCAAUUUAAGAAUGUCUUGAUUCUAAGAAGUUGCUAGACUUUAUCAGGCUUGUUUCUUAGUUUUACUUGUAACUUUUUAAUGCACUUUUCGGUUAACAAGUCAACAUCAAUUUCUUUUGUUGUAAAAGGGUAUGAGGAAGGUGGCUUGCUCUUCGGCGCAAGUGUUUUAUAGCCUUGUAUCUCUGCAAUCGGAGAGAUUGAGGUCUGCAGCGUAGAUCCUUCGGGGUUAGAUACAUUUGUGCUAAGCUAUAGCCUUGUAUAGACAACUUGUUGACUAUGCUCAGUCAUGUAGCUUACUCGCUUAUGCUAUUCUACCUACGCUUAGGAUGUUGACGCGCGUGUGUGCGUG
Molecule: ribosomal RNA, 784 nt
Filed under: uncultured Neocallimastigales
Lineage: Eukaryota; Fungi; Neocallimastigomycota; Neocallimastigomycetes; Neocallimastigales
Description: partial large subunit ribosomal RNA
Rfam family: Eukaryotic large subunit ribosomal RNA
Source: RNAcentral